AUCUCGCAAUCUGUACAACAACGACCAACAUAAUGUUUCUUUCAAUCUAAGAAAACCAUAAUAUUGUUGCAAACUACCAGCUAGCAACCAGAACAAGUUGUUCUUAUUUUUGUAGACCCAUAGUAGAAUUUUUUUUUUUGCCCUCGGGCCAAUUGCUUGAGUUGACUCUAUAAAAUAGAAAGACUUCCAUAUGCCAAGUGUUCGUAAAAGAAAUUCACUCUGAUUUAAAUUUAAAUCUGGGUCACUUAUUAUGACUCGAAGUGUUGUGCACUGUUUUGUAGCCAACUGAAAAGACACAAGUUGUUAUGCAUAAACUAGAAAGACAUCCCACGAGCUACCAAGUCUUGAUACCCCAUUCCAUUUUGGACGUUGUGUUUCGUCAUUUUCUCCAACACAAACUAUAAUAAUAAUUCACAACCAACAUUCGAAUCAGCCGGCAUUCGCUGCCCUAGUCAUUUUUGUAUUCUACGAGAACCAACAACUUCGUACUCCCUCUUUUUUCAAUACAUGGUGUAUUAAAUUUUAUUGUACAAGAUUUGACCAAGAAUUAUUUCACUAAUAUAUUCUUCAUAUGAAACAAAACGACACACCUAGCUAGUAAAUUGUGCUUCUUUCG
RNAcentral lists this long non-coding RNA (616 nucleotides) under Brachypodium distachyon (stiff brome). Its description in RNAcentral is "long non-coding RNA (BDIS_LNC004412)". Lineage: Eukaryota; Viridiplantae; Streptophyta; Magnoliopsida; Poales; Poaceae. The record is from RNAcentral.